Molecule: ribosomal RNA, 609 nt
Filed under: Tyrannochthonius sp. 3577
Lineage: Eukaryota; Metazoa; Arthropoda; Arachnida; Pseudoscorpiones; Chthoniidae
Description: partial large subunit ribosomal RNA
Source: RNAcentral
AUWUUWUUAAGKGGRGGAAAAGAAACCAAAAGGGWUUCCCCCAGKAGSGGCGAGMGAAAAGGGACCAGCUCAUCGSGUAAUCCCCCSAGCCUCGGUUACGGGGGAAAUGUUGCGUAUGGGACAGGUACCUAAGGUUAGUCGAGAAAGGCCCAAGUCCCCACGAACGGGGCGCCGAAGCGGGUGGCAGUYCCGUACSGUYUUCUCUCCCGACGAAACCAAAGGCCAGUCCCCGGAGUCGGGUUGCUUGAAAGUGCAGCCCAAAGUGGGUGGUAUGCUCCACCUAAGGCUAAAUAUUCCCGAGAGACCGAUASAAAUAAGUACCGUGANGGGRAAGUUGAAAAGAACUUUGAAGAGAGAGUUCAAUAGUACGUGAAACCGCUUAGAGGUAAACGGGUGGGCCCUCGAAGUCUGAGGGCGGAUCGGUUCAGUGGCGGGUUCCGCGGAGAGCACCGGUGGGUCUAGGCGAACUCCGUGAGGAKAAAUUCGACCUGGCGGUCUUUCACCCUCCGGGUGGGCCGCUUAAGGAAGGCGGCGGGAGCGUCGACGGGACGCCGCGGGAAAAGCCAGAGGUCGGCGGUCAGUAGAUCGGGUCCCACCCGACCCGUCUUG